Molecule: long non-coding RNA, 418 nt
Filed under: Glycine max (soybean)
Lineage: Eukaryota; Viridiplantae; Streptophyta; Magnoliopsida; Fabales; Fabaceae
Description: long non-coding RNA (GMAX_LNC002541)
Source: RNAcentral
CUAAGAAUGUUACACGCAAGUCCCAUCACAACUUCUAGCACUUGGAUCAGCACAACCUUCAGGAACAGAAAUAUUUACUUGCCAAGUUUGCUUUGCCUGCACAGAAAAAAAAAAAAAAGAAAUUCAACAUUUUUAGACCAAGUUAUACUUUGAACCUAACAUUAUUUUUGCAAGUUAGAGAAACAUUAUACAAACCUCCAAUUCAAGAUUGGAAGAAAGUUCCCCUGUUAAUAGCAUCCUCGUUAGCAUUUCCAAGUGCAGCCUCGUUCAAGUACUUGUCAGCCAAUUGGACUCUCUUGACAUUCUCUUGUUCUUGGACAAGCAUGUUACCAUACGUCAAGAGCUUCUCCAGAGUCAUCUUGGGCUGCUCAAAGGUUGGAGGUCCAUCUUUUGAGUUCACAAGCUUCUUCCCAAUGCC